Molecule: ribosomal RNA, 750 nt
Filed under: Triticum aestivum (bread wheat)
Lineage: Eukaryota; Viridiplantae; Streptophyta; Magnoliopsida; Poales; Poaceae
Description: partial small subunit ribosomal RNA
Source: RNAcentral
AUGUCUAGAAAGGGGAGAUUGGAGCUGGUCAAUACAGUCCUCACUGCUCUCACAACCUACCUAUUCACCAUUUUCCCUCCCCCUAAAUGGCUGCUCAGGAAGAUUGAUCGCUUCAGAAGAAGCUUCCUUUGGAGUGGGGAGGAGGACGCCCCUAGGAGCAAGUGCCUCGUCAACUGGAACAAAGUCUGCUCUCCCAAGGAUUAUGGUGGUUUAGGAAUAAAGGACCUAGAUCGAUACAGCAGAGCCCUCAGAUUACGUUGGUUGUGGUUUGAAUGGGACGAGGAACCUAGGCCAUGGAAGGGACUGCCGGUGCCCUGCGACACAACAGAUCGAAAUCUUUUUGCCGCCUGCACCAAGUUGGAACUGGGCAAUGGAGAAAGCAUCUCCUUCUGGUGCGACAUCUGGCUGCUGGACUGCCCGCUCAAGCUCUUUACACCUGAUCUCUUCAAACUAGCCUACAAAAAGAAGAUAUGUGUGAAGGAGGGACUGCAAACCAACCGAUGGAUGAGAGGGCUACACCGAAUCACCAUUGAGCUGCAAAUCGAUCAGCUAAUCACCAUCUGGACAAAAACUCAAUCCAUUUCCCUUGGUCAAAAUGCGGACAAGAUCUUCUGGACCCUCACGGCAGACUCUGUUUAUUCGGCCAAAUCAGCCUACGCCGCCCAAUUUUACGGCCGGAUCGAAAACCCCCAGUUACAAAGAUAUGGGAUGUCAAAGCGGAGGGCAAGCUCAAAUUCUUCCUUUGGUUGA